RNAcentral lists this ribosomal RNA (413 nucleotides) under uncultured bacterium. Its description in RNAcentral is "bacterial SSU rRNA". It matches the Rfam family "Bacterial small subunit ribosomal RNA", at positions 505 to 916 of the family's 1533-position model. The record is from RNAcentral.
GUGCCAGCCGCCGCGGUAAUACGGGGGGUGCAAGCGUUGUUCGGAAUUAUUGGGCGUAAAGAGCGUGUAGGCGGUUGGACAAGUCAGAUGUGAAAGCCCUGGGCUUAACUCAGGAAGUGCAUUUGAAACUGUUCAGCUGGAGUAAGGGAGAGGAAAGUGGAAUUCCUGGUGUAGAGGUGAAAUUCGUAGAUAUCAGGAGGAACACCGGUGGCGAAGGCGACUUUCUGGCCCUAUACUGACGCUGAGACGCGAGAGCGUGGGUAGCAAACAGGAUUAGAUACCCUGGUAGUCCACGCUGUAAACGAUGUUCACUAGGUGUUGGGAGUAUUGACCCUCUCAGUGCCGCAGCUAACGCAUUAAGUGAACCGCCUGGGGAGUACGGUCGCAAGAUUAAAACUCAAAUAAAUUGACGG